CCUACGGGAGGCAGCAGUGGGGAAUAUUGCACAAUGGGCGCAAGCCUGAUGCAGCCACGCCGCGUGAGUGAAGAAGGCCUUCGUUAUGUAAAGCUCUUUCAGCGGGGAAGAAAAUGCCGGUACUUGUGACAUAAGCUAUGGCCAUUAUCGGGCCAGCAGCCGCGGUAAUACGCAGGGCGCAACCGUUAUGCGGAUUUACUGGGGGUAAAGGGAAUGUAGAUGGCUGGGCAAGACUGAAGUGAAAGGCGGGGGCUCAACCCGAGAACUGCACUUGAAACUGUAAGGCUGGAGUGCAGGAGAGGUAGGUGGAAUUCCUGGUGUAGCGGUGAAAUGCGUAGAGAUCAGGAGGAAUACCGGUGGCGAAGGCGGCCUCCUGGAC
This 379-nucleotide ribosomal RNA is filed under the name uncultured bacterium. Its description in RNAcentral is "partial 16S ribosomal RNA". It matches the Rfam family "Bacterial small subunit ribosomal RNA", at positions 338 to 734 of the family's 1533-position model. The record is from RNAcentral.